GGGAAGGAAUAAUGGCUUUAACAUGUAUGUCACCAGGGAGAGAUGGUGGUUGUCCCCACCUAGCGAAACUACGCGACCAACUGUGUGUGGACGCCUGCCCGUCGAACAUGUCACUCCAUAAUCAUGGGUGUUAAUAUGGAGUUGGCCCCCCCUCGCUGCUAUAACAGCCUCCGCUCUGCUGGGAAGGAUUUCCACUAGAUGUUGGAACAUUGCUGCUAUAACAGCCUCCGCUCUGCUGGGAAGGCUUUCCACUAGAUGUAGGAACAUUGCUGCUAUAACAGCCUCCACUCUGCUGGGAAGGCUUUCCACUAGAUGUUGGAACAUUGCUGCUAUAACAGCCUCCGCUCUGCUGGGAAGGCUUUCCACUAGAUGUUGGUAUAUUGCUGCUAUAACAGCCUCCACUCUUCUGGGAAGGCUUUCCACUAGAUGUUGGUACAUUGCUGCUAUAACAGCCUCCACUCUUCUGGGAAGGCUUUCCACUAGAUGUUGGAACAUUGCUGCUAUAACAGCCUCCGCUCUGCUGGGAAGGCUUUCCACUAGAUGUUGGUAUAUUGCUGCUAUAACAGCCUCCACUCUUCUGGGAAGGCUUUCCACUAGAUGUUGGUACAUUGCUGCUAUAACAGCCUCCACUCUUCUGGGAAGGCUUUCCACUAGAUGUUGGAACAUUGCUGCUAUAACAGCCUCCACUCUUCUGGGAAGGCUUUCCACUAGAUGUUGGAACAUUGCUGCUAUAACAGCCUCCACUCUUCUGGGAAGGCUUUCCACUAGAUGUUGGAACAUUGCUGCGGGGACUUGCCUCAAUUCAGCCAGAAGAGCAUUAGUGUGGUUGGGCACUGAUGUUGGGCGAUUAGGCCUGGUUCGCAGAAUGGCUUAUUUUAGAGCUCAGUAAAAAUCGUGUCCUUGGUUGCAACACUCACUAACGAGUUCCAAACUGCCUCUGGAAGAAACGUCAGCACAAGAACUGUUCGUCGGGAGCUUCAUGAAACAGGUUUCCAUGGCCGAGCAGCCAUGGAAUCCCAUAUGUGGAAGAACUUGACUGGCCUGCACAGAGCCCUGACCUCAACCCCAUCGAACACCUUUGGGAAUCAAUUGGAACGCUGACAGAGCCAGGCCUAAUCGCUCAACAUCGGUGCCGAUGUUAUAUAUAUAUAUAUUUUUUUUUUAAGGUACGGUGAUACGCUUCAAACGACUAUUUCUCGCAAACUUCUCUGUAGGAACACGCUCCUAUGAUGGUAAACAUCCCAAACCUCUAAAAAUGCAAUAUCCCUACUGGUCAAUUCCUUAGACCAGUGGUCACCAACCGGUUGAUCGCAAUAAGACUAGUCGAUCUUCAAGGCAUUCCUAGCAGAUCACCAAGUGUUUCUGUAGAAAAGCCAACGAAAGGAUUUCGCUCCUAUUUUUUGGUUUUAUUAGUCUCACGCUGUUGGAAGUGGGUGCACUUGAUUCACAAGCCCUGUCGGCGAGAGGCGGGUGCACUUGAUUCACAAGUCCCGUCGGCGAGAGGCGGGUGCACUUGAUUCACAAGCCCCGUCGGCGAGAGGCGGGUGCACUUGAUUCAGAAGCCCUGUCGGCGAGAGGCGGGUGCACUUGAUUCAGAAGCCCUGUCGGCGAGAGGCGGGUGCACUUGAUUCAGAAGCCCUGUCGGGCGAGAGGCGGGUGCACUUGAUUCAGAAGCCCUGUCGGUCGAGAGGCGGGUGCACUUGAUUCAGAAGCCCUGUCGGCGAGAGGCGGAUGCACUUGAUUCAGAAGCCCUG
This is a long non-coding RNA of Oncorhynchus keta (chum salmon), 1754 nucleotides long. RefSeq lists it as uncharacterized. Lineage: Eukaryota; Metazoa; Chordata; Actinopteri; Salmoniformes; Salmonidae. The record is from RefSeq and is a predicted model, not a curated record. The transcript is spliced from 3 exons.